Molecule: ribosomal RNA, 254 nt
Filed under: uncultured bacterium
Lineage: Bacteria
Description: partial 16S ribosomal RNA
Rfam family: Bacterial small subunit ribosomal RNA
Source: RNAcentral
GACAGAGGGUGCAAACGUUGUUCGGAAUUACUGGGCGUAAAGCGCGUGUAGGCGGCCCGGAAAGUCGGAUGUGAAAUCUCCACGCUCAACGUGGAGGGGCCAUUCGAAACUGCCGUGACUCGAGUCCGGUAGGGGAGUGUGGAAUUCCCGGUGUAGCGGUGAAAUGCGCAGAUAUCGGGAGGAACACCAGUAGCGAAGGCGGCACUCUGGGCCGGUACUGACGCUGAGGAGCGAAAGCGUGGGGAGCGAACAGG